Non-coding RNA from Emys orbicularis (European pond turtle), 82 nucleotides. NCBI's taxonomy places the organism in Eukaryota, Metazoa, Chordata, Testudines, Emydidae. The record is from the annotation of a RefSeq genome assembly.
GACAGGGUGGCCGAGCGGUCCAAGGCACUGCGUUAAGGUCGCAGUCUCCCCGUAGGCGUGGGUUCGAAUCCCACCCCUGACA